RNAcentral lists this long non-coding RNA (2157 nucleotides) under Haliotis rufescens (red abalone). Its description in RNAcentral is "uncharacterized LOC124113748". Lineage: Eukaryota; Metazoa; Mollusca; Gastropoda; Lepetellida; Haliotidae. The record is from RNAcentral.
CUUCGUGUUAGACGCUCAUUAAGGGCUAACAAAGGGGAAAGGGGAGAAAGAUGGAAAUAAAUUUCACUCAAGAAGACCAACCGCCGAGUCUUGAUUUUUCUACCAAGGAAGUCAAUUAUGAAGAAUUUCGUUUGUUACAACUGCACUUGACAGCGAAAUUAGUGCGAGUUCCAGUUUUAUUGCAUCGGAAGAAUUGCUGCAGAUUGUUACAGAAAGCAGGUCAGGGAAGGUCGUGAAUGUAUUCAGCUCAUACCCAAGUUUAUUUUGCUCCGUCAUUUAGUCUUUGUUAUCGCAUCAGGCGCCACACCGCCAUUCUCAGAGCCGACUCCGCGAUCAAUAUACCUGCGCGUGGAAGCCACGCACCGUUUGAUUGUCACGUGACUCGAGAGUGUGCUCAAUUGAAGCAAGUAGGCUUUAGCAGACGACUUUUAUAGAUGGAGGUUCCUCCACAUACAGGGUUAAUAAAAAUCAAAAGUCGUUUUUUCUGCGGUGGUCAUUUCGGUACAUUGGAAUGUAAAGAGUAAGAAGAGUGUAUCGUUGUCAAACGCUCACUGUGGAUAUAUUUGAUCAGAACCCCUUGUGAGGUGUCUUGCAAGUGGUCAUCGAGAGGGCGGGGCAAGCGCACCUUGACGGCUCCUUUGAUGUGCUGAGGUAGUGUACCUGGAUGACGAGAACAUGACAGCUGACUCGAGCCGUGCUCAGGUGAGGAGCCAGGUAUGAAAACGGAUGACGCAGAAGGGGAGGGAGGGUAAGCGCGAACGGCAUUCGCACUCGGAGGAGUGGGGGAAAGGAUGAAGACCCUCGUGGACGCAGAAGCGGAGGGAUGGAGAGUGGCAGCAUGUGCUUGUGGAUGGAUUAACGUUAAGACAAAUGAAGGAGGGCACGAACAUUCCUUUGGAAACGGAGGAAGUGCAGUCCGACCCGAUAAUGAAGCUGAAAUGGGAUUUAUUUGGCCUCUUAUCAGCAAACGCUGCAGUGCAAAUAGUGACAUUAAUUUUAUAACAGUUACAAUGGAGCUACACCAGUGAAGUGAUUCACAUAUUUGUUUGGAUCAAUAAUUGGAGCAUUGAAGCGAAUGCCUACCUACACAUUAUCACAUAAUGAAUCACUUGAAUCUUUUAUACGACGCUAAUAAAAUGAUCAUGAUUUGAGUAAUCCUUAUGUGAUAACAUGAGCAGAAAAUGCAUAAACCCUUUAUAGUGUCCCAUAUUCAGGACAAAAAUGUAUCAGGUCAAACAAGGCUGUAGACAACAAUGAACAACGGUAGUGAAUGAAACCAUAUGUUUCACCUACCACCUGCAGUUUGAUCCUUAUGUACCCAAUAACACUAUCUAUUUCAUGUCGGUACUCAUUUUCUAUAUUUGGAGAGCGGCCAGUUGUCUAGGGCGCCGCAAUUCACUGUGCAGAGUUGCGUCCCUUGGGCACACCAGAAACCUAUGAUCAUGGGUUCGAAUCUCGGUUCGCCACGAUUAUGUUUCAUGGUUUGUUAGCUACAUACCCGUGCUCGUAGGUUUCAUAGUGGUAAAUGUCUGAGACCAGCAUCACUUCGGGCUUUCCUCCCACAUUAAUCUGGCAUGUCGGGAUGUAACCGGAUAAUGUUGAAAGUGGCGUUAAACCCAACACACUCACUCACUCACUCACUCACUCAUUCACGCUGAAUGUUGAAAAAAUGUUUGGAAAAACGAAACACGUCGCGUGAAAUAUGUAUGUAAAAAGCAACACAGAAUCAGAUAAUAUCAGUGUGGCUUAUCAGUAGAAGUGUUAAAUAUAUAGAUAGUUAGGACUAGGGGGUAUUCUUCUUCAUGCAAAUACAAUCCAAGUACAUCAAAGAUUAUGUAAUAUAAGAGACAACACGUAAUAGGCAUCAUCAUAACAUCCUUGUCACGUGUAUUUUGUAUAGCUAAGAAUGGAUCGAAGUUGUUUUGUUGUUUGGCCAUGAGGGAAAUCUUAUGUAACCUUUGUUAAAAUUACCGAGUAUUAUCAAGAGUGAUGAUAUCAACAGCCACAGUAUCAGUAGUAACAGUAGCAGCAGUAGUCGUAGUUAGCCGGUAUGGUUGGUAACCCUAUUAUAUGGUGAGGGGUAGUAGUCGCUCCAGGUAGUAGUAGGUAUGGUAGAAGUAGCAGCAGAGGCAGUAGCAGUAGCAGUAGUAGUAGCAG